Molecule: long non-coding RNA, 2255 nt
Organism: Eucalyptus grandis
Lineage: Eukaryota; Viridiplantae; Streptophyta; Magnoliopsida; Myrtales; Myrtaceae
Exons: 2
Source: RefSeq, a predicted model, not a curated record
CUCGCGGGGACUCUCCGUGAACUCUCUCUCGCUCUCUCUUUGGGGGCUCUCUGAUAAUCACGAACGAACUCUCUCCGGGGUGAGCUCUCUCUCGAUCAAGUGUUCUCUCUCUCUACGGUUCAAUCGGCUAGGGUUUUCACUCCAUUGGAGGGAUUAAAGAUCGGAGUUUGGCGGGCUGAAGCGUUCUCUCUCUGGUGAAGGGGGGACGCUCGCACUCUCUCUGGAAAGGGGGAUUCUCUCUUCCGCUCUGGGUAACUGCUCGAUUGAGCUCUUCGAUGGCGGAUUGAAGAAAACCCUAGCCUCGGUCGAGGACGGGGCUCGGGACAUCUCUCCCUCUUCUCAGCAAUCUAGUCCUCAAUCGAUCGUCGUUUCGAGCUUCCAUUCUUCGCGCAGAAACCGAACUCGUGGUCGAUCUCGCACGUUCGGUGAUGUUCCUGGCCUCGAAGAUGAAGAGCUUGAAGCGGUCGUUGACCUCGCCAUGCUGAUCCUCUUCGCGCUCAGCAUAUUCCCAUCCCCGAUCGGUGACAGCCGCAGCAAAAUCUCCUCCGCCGGUCAGUACAGCCGUGGCUGUAACAGAACAGACGAAUGCUCAUCACUACCGAUCAGGACAAUCAGUGGAUCCAUCCGUUGCCAGAACUUAACUUCUCCAAAUCUGAUAAUCCCCGACGAUCCGAAGUUUCUGUUCGAACUUAUCAUCGCUGGUUCCAACCUCGUUCUUGGACGAUCAUAAAACUCUUAUUCUUCGUCUGGAACUCUUGUUGCAGUAUCCGUAUCACUGAUAAACUAGGUAAACUCAUUCCCCUCUCUCCUGCUCUGUUGCAAUGAAAUGUGUAGAAGAAUCAUGUUCACGUAGUUCAGGUGUAAUUCACUUAAGAUCUGAGCUGUAACUAGAUGACUUGUGAUGGUUCUGUGAUUUUAAUAUUGAUUUUAGAAUGUUAGAUGAAAACAUGGCUUCAGUCCCAUUCCAUAGCUUCAGUUAAUCGUUUUGUUGUACGUGAAGUGUCUGACGAAAUACCUCAAAAGCAUGAGCGAGAAAUAGGUCAUGAUAAUGUCAGAUCUGAAAACGUGUUGAUAUGAAACAUUUCUUAGAAGUUGAUUUACCGAGUAUAUAGAUCUGAUGCCACUCAUUGUGCCAUUGUUACUGAACCUGUGUUGUUUAUUGUGUUGUGUGUUCUGAUCUGACCUUCUGUGCAAAAUGACGUGAGAUGAUCGGGUUGCUGUGGUUGUCUAUGUUCGAAGUCUUCAUAUAGGUUGAAGAUGGUUCGAUUAUCUUUCCAAUGAGCUAUAGAAUGCCCUAAACGGACUUCAUUUAAUAUGGUUUUUGCCUGUCCAAAGUUAGGUCCAGAAUCUGCCAAAUAUUUGUUUUUCUGUUUCGGAUGACCUUCUGUGUAAACCGCUUGAUAUGAACUCGUAGAUGAUGUUAUUAGGACUUAAUGUCUUCUAGAGAUUUGUAAUAGACUUCUCAAGCUUUCCAUAGACAUAUCAUGUGUGCGAUUUAGCCAUCAUUUGCCCUGCCUGAUGCUUCUUGCAAAGAGCACUAAUCUGCUGAUGUGUUCUGCUUGUUGUGAUUUGAUCUGACCACUUAUACAAAUGGCUUUACUUGAGGCUAGUUUGGUUAUGGAUUGAUGCCAUUUUAAUCAAGUAGACUCAUACGUGCUUGUGAGAAGAUAUAGCUUCAAUUCAUGACGAUUUGUCAUCAAAUAAUCACAAUUUAUAGUCUCAUGUGCUCUUUUACAAUUCUGAUUGCAUGCUGGAAUUUGUGGAUUAAGCAUUGAUUAGAUGGACAUACAUGUAGCAUGAACACGUUCAAUGAUGCAUAUUGUUUUGUGAAUGAUCUUUUGUCACCUAAUUCAUUUGCUUGAUUAAUUGAGAACCAAGGUUAUAUGACUUGGAUGUCUGUCAUAUUAUAUGUCUUGCAUGUGAUCAUUUGAUGAAUGGUUUUGGUGUGACACAUAUCAAUGCUGAACUUUAGGAUAUCAUUCGAAACUUGAUUCCGUAUUGUACUUCUUUUAAACAAUUGAUUUUGAUAUGAUGUAUUGUUUUUGGUUGCUUGAUGUGUUUGAUUGUUUCUUUUAUUUGUACGCACCUAGUUAUAGGUUUUCUUAGAUUAGAUUUAGAUUAAGAUCCCGAAGAUGGAGAAGGCACGAAGAGGGUGAAGGUCGAUGUCCAUUCCGACCAUUUUCAUGUAAUACCCAUUUUCCCAACAUAUGUAUCGGGUUUUAUGCAUUGUAUAAAGCCCGACGAGUUGCGGGUUU